This 585-nucleotide ribosomal RNA is filed under the name Bacillus sp. (in: firmicutes). RNAcentral's name for it is "bacterial SSU rRNA". It matches the Rfam family "Bacterial small subunit ribosomal RNA", at positions 51 to 619 of the family's 1533-position model. The record is from RNAcentral. Lineage: Bacteria; Bacillati; Bacillota; Bacilli; Caryophanales; Bacillaceae.
AUACAUGCAAGUCGAGCGAAUCAAAGGGAGCUUGCUCCCUGAGAUUAGCGGCGGACGGGUGAGUAACACGUGGGUAACCUGCCUGUAAGAUUGGGAUAACUCCGGGAAACCGGAGCUAAUACCGGAUAACAUUUCGAACCGCAUGGUUCGGAAUUGAAAGGUGGCUUUUGCUACCACUUACAGAUGGACCCGCGGCGCAUUAGCUAGUUGGUGAGGUAACGGCUCACCAAGGCGACGAUGCGUAGCCGACCUGAGAGGGUGAUCGGCCACACUGGGACUGAGACACGGCCCAGACUCCUACGGGAGGCAGCAGUAGGGAAUCUUCCGCAAUGGACGAAAGUCUGACGGAGCAACGCCGCGUGAACGAUGAAGGCCUUCGGGUCGUAAAGUUCUGUUGUUAGGGAAGAACAAGUACCAGAGUAACUGCUGGUACCUUGACGGUACCUAACCAGAAAGCCACGGCUAACUACGUGCCAGCAGCCGCGGUAAUACGUAGGUGGCAAGCGUUGUCCGGAAUUAUUGGGCGUAAAGCGCGCGCAGGCGGUUUCUUAAGUCUGAUGUGAAAGCCCACGGCUCAACCGUGGA